GUCCCAGAAACCCAGGAAAUCGAGACUCAUGACUCCCAGAGAGGAUGGCAUCUAGAAGACUCUGCAGCCAGCCAUCUAUGCAGCGCCCCAGUGGCUUUGAAAUGCAACAGAAACCAUCACCCCUGGACCAUGGGCUCCAUGCCAGUGGGCAAAGCACAGCCCCACCCAGCCCCAGCCCCAGGAGGAGGAGCCUGUCUGGAUGGACGCAGCCUCAACUGACCCACAAACAGACCAAAAAAGUCACUCUCAAAGAGCUCUUGGUAGGUUUGUAAAUACUUAACUGAUGGUAAAAUGGCAUGAACCCCUACCCCCGAUGGAUCUGAACCGUUCACUUGACCCACUUUAAACUGACCAGACUUCUCCAAAUAAGCUCCAUCCACCCCUGGUUGGGGUACCCCACUAGCUUUGUCCUCAGGCCAACCUGCAACCCAAAGUGGGUUACACCUUGGCCCCCAGGCACACAGACCCCAGCUUUACAAGGACCCCAGCUCCUUAACACAGAUCCCAGCUCCGAGGAAACUCGUCCCCCCCA
Molecule: small RNA, 532 nt
Filed under: Pan troglodytes (chimpanzee)
Lineage: Eukaryota; Metazoa; Chordata; Mammalia; Primates; Hominidae
Description: retained intron
Source: RNAcentral